Molecule: long non-coding RNA, 239 nt
Filed under: Capsicum annuum
Lineage: Eukaryota; Viridiplantae; Streptophyta; Magnoliopsida; Solanales; Solanaceae
Description: long non-coding RNA (CANN_LNC018607)
Source: RNAcentral
UAGCCUCAUCCCCACCACCCGCACCCCAUCUUCCGUAUUAUAUAUUUAUCUAAAUUAUAUACAAAUAUUUUUAAAAUAAUACUUUUUCCUUACUUGCCCGACACAAAACCCCUCAAUCUUUACAUUUGAGGUUAUAGAGCAAUGGGUUAAGUAACAAGUUUUACUGAUCAAAUGUAAUUCAUCUGAUGCAAAGGGGUAUAAAAGUAAACAUAGAAUAUCAUUCCACCAACCAGUACAAC